RNAcentral lists this ribosomal RNA (312 nucleotides) under Triticum aestivum (bread wheat). RNAcentral's name for it is "partial small subunit ribosomal RNA". Lineage: Eukaryota; Viridiplantae; Streptophyta; Magnoliopsida; Poales; Poaceae. The record is from RNAcentral.
AUGGGUGUGGCUGGAACACGGGGGGACGUCGUGGCAUGGGGAUGGAGCAUGACCGGCCGUAGGUUGGAAGAAGCUGGGAGCGAGGCAGCUCGUAGGCUGGAUGGAGAAGAGGAUGAGCGGCACUGGCUGGUGGACAAGGUCAAGGGAGAAGCAGCGAUGGUGAUGUGUGGAGAAGAGGCACAGACUGAUAUGGCUGUUGCUAGAUGUCACUUUGCAUACAAUUGCGACGCUGCUGUUUGUCUGGACUGCCAUGGUUUAAUGUUUCUGCUAGAAGAUGAUGCUCUAUUGCCAUUGUUGCCACAUAUAAAGUAA